GUUAUGGCUCAGUGGUAGCGUGCUUGCCUAACAUGCAUGAGGCACUGGGUUCGAUUCUUAGCACAACA
This 68-nucleotide transfer RNA is filed under the name Marmota monax (woodchuck). RNAcentral's name for it is "tRNA.Val". The record is from RNAcentral. Lineage: Eukaryota; Metazoa; Chordata; Mammalia; Rodentia; Sciuridae.